UCUCCGUUGGUGACCCAGCGGAGGGAUCAUUACAGGACUCGCAAGACUCCUACAACCCUGUGAACUUAACUAUAAGCACGUUGCUUCGGCGGGUGUCUCGGAGGGGGUUCUCCCUCCCCGAGACGCUAAACCCGCCGGCAGCCUACUAUACUCUGUCUCUUUGCGUUGGCAUCUCGAGUACAAUCAAACAAGUUAAAACUUUCAACAACGGAUCUCUUGGUUCUG
This 225-nucleotide unclassified non-coding RNA is filed under the name plant metagenome. Its description in RNAcentral is "partial contains small subunit ribosomal RNA, internal transcribed spacer 1, and 5.8S ribosomal RNA". The record is from RNAcentral.